RNAcentral lists this ribosomal RNA (506 nucleotides) under uncultured bacterium. RNAcentral describes it as "bacterial SSU rRNA". It matches the Rfam family "Bacterial small subunit ribosomal RNA", at positions 29 to 524 of the family's 1533-position model. The record is from RNAcentral.
AACGAACGCUGGCGGCGUGCCUAACACAUGCAAGUCGAACGAGAAUGCAGGCUUCGGUCUGCUAGUAAAGUGGCGCACGGGUGAGCAACACGUGGAUAACGUACAUUGUAGUGGGGGAUAACCAGGUGAAAGCUUGGCUAAUACCGCAUGAGUCUGUCGGGACGCAGGUUUUGACAGGGAAAGUGAGCAAUCACGCUACGAGAUCGGUCCGCGGCCCAUUAGCUAGUUGGCGGGGUAAUGGCCCACCAAGGCGACGAUGGGUAGCUGGUCUGAGAGGACGAUCAGCCACACUGGAACUGAGACACGGUCCAGACUCCUACGGGAGGCAGCAGUGGGGAAUUUGCGCAAUGGGCGAAAGCCUGACGCAGCAACGCCGCGUGUGUGACGAAAGGCCCUAAGGGUUGUAAAGCACUGUGGGAGGGGAGAAAAAACCGGAGUGUAUCCGGUCUUGACGGUACCCUGUUAGAAAGCAACCGGCUAAACUCCGUGCCAGCAGCCGCGGUAAU